Molecule: ribosomal RNA, 860 nt
Filed under: uncultured Alphaproteobacteria bacterium
Lineage: Bacteria; Pseudomonadati; Pseudomonadota; Alphaproteobacteria
Description: bacterial SSU rRNA
Rfam family: Bacterial small subunit ribosomal RNA
Source: RNAcentral
AGAGUUUGAUUAUGGCUCAGAACGAACGCUGGCGGCAGGCCUAACACAUGCAAGUCGAGCGCGUAGCAAUACGAGCGGCGCACGGGAUAGUAACGCGUGGGAACCUACCUUUCGGUUCGGAAUAACAUCGGGAAACUGGUGCUAAUACCGGAUACGCCCUUCGGGGGAAAGAUUUAUUGCCGAUAGAUGGGCCCGCGUUGGAUUAGCUAGUUGGUGAGGUAACGGCUCACCAAGGCAACGAUCCAUAGCUGGUCUGAGAGGAUGAUCAGCAUCACUGGGACUGAGACACGGCCCAGACUCCUACGGGAGGCAGCAGUGGGGAAUAUUGGACAAUGGGGGCAACCCUGAUCCAGCCAUGCCGCGUGAAUGAUGAAGGCCUUCGGGUUGUAAAGUUCUUUUGGUGGGGACGAUGAUGACGGUACCCACAGAAUAAGCUCCGGCUAACUUCGUGCCAGCAGCCGCGGUAAUACGAAGGGAGCUAGCGUUGUUCGGAUUUACUGGGCGUAAAGGGCGCGUAGGCGGUUUGGCAAGUUGGAUGUGAAAGCCCUGGGCUCAACCCGGGAAUUGCAUUCAAAACUGCCUUACUUGAAUUCGGUAGAGGUUGGUAGAAUUCCCAGUGUAGAGGUGAAAUUCGUAGAGAUUGGGAAGAAUACCCGUGGCGAAAGCGGCCAACUGGACCGACAUUGACGCUGAGGCGCGAAAGCGUGGGUAGCAAACAGGAUUAGAUACCCUGGUAGUCCACGCCGUAAACGAUGCAUGCUAGACGUUAAAGCCGUCAGGUUUUAGUGUCGCAGCUAACGCACUAAGCAUGCCGCCUGGGGAGUACGGCGCAAGGUUGAAACUCAAAUGAAUUGACGGGG